Non-coding RNA from Oryctolagus cuniculus (rabbit), 7756 nucleotides. Lineage: Eukaryota; Metazoa; Chordata; Mammalia; Lagomorpha; Leporidae. The record is from RefSeq and is a predicted model, not a curated record.
CAACGAACAAAUAGGGACGUAGGUCCUGGAGGGCUCUAAUCCCCCUUCAAUAAAAGCCAUUUCCACACGGCAUUUUUAUAAUGUUUUAGAAACCAAGUAAUCGGUUUUUAAACAUGCCAUUUUCUAACUACGGUACAAUUUCUUCCUAUUUUUUUUUUUUUUUUGGACAGGCAGAGUUUAGACAGAGAGAGAGAGAGAGAGGUCUUCCUUCCGUUGCUUCACCCCCCAAAGUGGCCGCUACGGCCAGCGCUGCACCAAUCCGAAGGCAGGAGCCAGGUGCUUCUCCUGGUCUCGCAUGGGCUGCAGGGCCCAAGCACUUGGACCAUCCUCCACUGCACUCCCUGGCCACAGCAGAGAGCUGGCCUGGAAGAGGGGCAACCAGGACAGAAUCCAGCGCCCCGACCGGGACUAGAACCCGGGGUGCCAGUGCCGCAAGGCGGAGGAUUAGCCUAGUGAGCCGCGGCGCCAACACUUAUUUUUAAAAGCAGGUCUGUUCCAAUCUUUCCUUAAUUUUGAGAGUCGCUGGGGGGCGGGGGGGGGGGGGACAGAAAGCGUCUUCCAUCCGCUGGUUCUCUCCCCAAAUGGCCGCACGGCCAGAGCUGGGCCCAUCCCAAGCCAGGAGCCCGGCACUUCCUCCGGGUGUCCCCCGCGGGCCCAGGGGCCCAAGCUCUCGGACAUCCUCUCACCUCGGCCAGGAGAGCGUCCCAGAGCCCGGCCCCGGCCCCGGCCAGCUGGGCAGCCAGCGGCUACGUCACUAACGGUUCUGGCGUCCAACGUCGCCAGCAACGCCUAACGGCUCAACCGCCGGCCUCGGGCUGCAGGCCCCGGUUAGGCCCGCGGGGACUCCGAGGUGACCCCGGCCCCGGCCAGGCUGCGCUGGGCCCCCGCCGCCCGCCUGCACGGUCAGCGAGCCUGGCCGGCGCCUUCGGCCGCCCGCCGCGGUGCCCUUCCGCCCUCCCUGAGGCUGCGCGUCCCGGGCCGGCUGUGCCUGGACCUGGGGCGGCUCUGGCCGGGCGCAGGGGCUCCGGGCCGCCUCGCAGCCUCGGGCCAGGGGUCCGCGGUCAGCCCGGGCCCCGCGGUCAGCCCCGGCCCCGCGGUCAGCCCCUCUGCCUCCCGGCUUCCUACCGCGCUCGCUUCUGGAAGUCGGAACUCCGGGUUUUUGUGGUUUUUUUUGUUGUUUUUUUCACCCCUAGCAAAACUUCCAUCCCGCCGAAUAUGCUAGCCCUCAAUAUCCUUAUUUUUCCAUCCCACAUUUUCAAGUUUCUCUGAAUCCACAAGCUCUUAAUUAUUGCUAUGAAAUGAGAGAAAGCCCUCCGGAUUUUUUAACAUUUUUUUUUUUUGAAAGGCUGAGUUACAGUGAGUGGUCCUCACCUGCUGGUUCUCUCCCCAAAUGGCGCAACAGCCGGAGCUAGGCGGAUCCAAAGCCAGGAGCCAGAACCUUCUGGGUCUCCCACGUGGUGCAGGAUCCCAAGCACUUGGGCCAUCAUCUGCUGCUUUUCCCAGGCCACAGCAGAGAGCUGAACCAGCAGAUGGCAGAUCUUUGUGAUUUAUUUGGAAGGCAGAGUUGGAGAGAGAGAGACAGACACAGAGAAGUUCCAGGGCUCGCCCUGGCCGAAGCAGGAGCUUUCGUAUCAGCAGCAGGGCGUCAAGUAUUUGGGUCCUCUUCUGCUGUUUUCCCAGGUACAUCAGCAGGGAGCUGGAUUGGAAGUGGAGAAGCUGAGGCUGGCAUUGUGGCAUAGCAGGUAGAGCCACCGCCUGUGAGGCCCGCAUCCCAUAUGGGUGCAGGUUUGGAUCCAGGCUGCUCCCCUUCCAGUCCAGCACCCUGCUAAUGGGUGGGAAAAGCAGCAGAAGAUGGUCCAAGUGUUUGAGCCCCUGCCACUCACAUGGGAAACCUGGAAGAAGCUCCUGGCCUCUGGCUCCUGGCUCCUGGCUCCUGCCUGGCCCAGCGCUAGCCAUUUCUGCUAUCUGGGGAGUAAACCAGUUAAUAGAUGAUCUCUUUCUCCUAUCGAUCACUCUUGACUUUCAUAUAAACACAUUAAUCUUUAAAAAGACAGCUGGGAUUCAAACUUGCCCACAUACAGCAGUAAAUUUGAUGAACACCAGUGAUAUGGAGCUCCAGGGGUCACAGGAUACUGCAGUGGGAUACUCGGACAGAGAGGCGGGACACCAAGGCUCUUAACAGGAAAGCAGGCAGGCUCAGAGGAGUCUGUCUCCAGAUCCUGGGCCCUGGGCAAAGCAGGGCAUUGUCUUACAUACACUGGCACAAACAACGGUAACUUUCCUAAUACACAUUUGAUUGCAUACGUCUUGACUGGAUAGUUAGAGCUAUAGCAACGCUUACACCUGCAUACAUUAGAAUCCCCGCAGUUGACCUAGUUCUCUUGAGCUAUUUCUCAGAAAGCCCCUUCCACUCCCUGUUCCCAGAACUCCUCUAAGGCUUUUGCAUUUAGCCAGUGUUUUCUACCUUAGGGGAGGGGUCCCUGCCACAUUACCUUUUCUCUGGAAAGAAUUUACCCUCAACCUUGGGGUUUGAUGACACAUGGAGGUUAGUCCUGGUCCUGGGAGGUCCUAGGUUUGUGGGGCAGAGCCUUCUGCUGGCAAGGAGUCUCCUUGUUGAAUCCAGGGUUCCAAGUAGGUGGGUCUCUUGGACAGGAAUGUAAAUGCAGAAGCUCUGGUAGGGUCAUCCUCUACUGUGUGGAUGGAGAAGUAGAGAAAACCGGACUAUAGAGAAGAUGAGAGACAGAAUCCCGAUGGCUUUUCUAUCCCGUGUUCUUGUCUGCUAGGGAACAGAGGGCCUCUUCAAAACAACAUGUAUGUAGCUAAGGUACCUGUGAAACCUCUAACAGGAACUCCUCAUAUCUGGCUAUCUCGGAGACUUCUUGGAAAAAAACAUCUUGCUUUGUCUGUAUCCUACCCCUGAGAACCUUGGCCCUGGCUGGUACAGUUUUUUCUGUGGCUGAUAUUGAAGGACCCCCAAAAGUGGUGCCCUUUUGUGAUGACCCCAGAAACACAGACUCCAGACCAGGCGAUGCAAAAAGCAAGAGGCAGUUUUUAUUCCAUUUGCGCAAAUGGGCCCUCUGCUGCCGCAAGCAGCGAGAAAGAGAGGAGCCCCGAGCCCCGAUUACACGCAGUAUUUAAAGCGAAAAGCCACAAAAUUAUCAUAGAUUAACAUUCUACUUGGUGUACACAGCUCAUUGGAUAAUUUUCAGCAAUUGACCUAAUAUGGCAGUUUGGGAGCGGGUAGGGAAGCAUAGUCAGUGGAAAAGUACUAGGUCGAAAGGGCAUGCCGGGGGAGGGGGGGGUCGCUUGAGGAAGAGAAGCGGGCUGCUACAUGCCGUACGUGCCUUGCGGUUUUCUUUGUUCAGCUUGAGCAAGCACGGGGGAGGGGACCCAUGUACAUAACAGGAUGUUCUGGUGCCCAUAUCUCCAAGUAAUAUUUAACCGCUCCUCUGAGAACCAGUUUACUUCCUUAAUUCCCAGGACCUGCAUUGUCUAGGGGGCUUUUUGCGGGGGGUCUCACAAUAUCUGCAAACACAAGACCCACAAGACACAGUUCAUUGUUAGCUUGAGCUCAUACAACGGAAGCCCAUCCUCCACGUCUUGUGGCCCUUCCUCUGUGAAGUAAAACUGUGUCCCUCCCUUUCCCAUCCCCUUUCCGCAGCCUCGUGGGGCUGUUGCAUCUUGAGGCGCAACCCAUUCUGUAUGCAGCAAGACUUUGCCUAUGUGUUGCUCGUAAUCAGCCUUGGUUGUCCUGAGUACUUUGGCCCGCCGAGUACCUAUCAAUGCCAUCAAAGCCUGGCUGUGGGUCUGUUCCCGGUCUCCCAUGAGCGACUUUUAGUCUAUUUUCAGCUACCUACAAGCUCUGUAAUUGAUAAACACCUGUCCUCUCUUCCUUGGACAACUUCCUUUUCAUGGCAAUUUCCACUAAACCCACCAUUUGGCAAUCACCAUCACAUUUUAGAAUACACACACCCUUUAAUGCUGUAUAUUUUUCUCUCUUAGGUGUUUAAUUUAUAGACCUAGAAGAACAAGAUGAAGAUAUUUCACUGCAACAACGUUUAUAAUAGAAAACAGGGAGAAAUGUAUCAUGUAUGCUGCUGGACGCCCAGCGUAGUAAAGACACGAUCGCUGCUUGCUCGGUUCUCAUGGAACUUUAUUCGUCCAGAUGCAAGAUAAAGGUGCCAAAGUAACUCAAAGUGGGAAAGAAGCGUCUUCAACAAGCAAUACUGAAAGUGGGGGGAAAAUAUGAGCAAAAAAUGAAACUGGAAGGUUUGGAACACCUCUACAUUCAAGUUUUUCUUAGCCCCCAGGAAGAAGACAGAGAAAGGAGAUGGAGACCAACCUCACCAGAGACAGGCAUUGUCAAUAGAAGCAUUGGCCUACCAAGAUCUCUGCAGGGGUUGACCCUGUGGGGAAUCCCACAGGAGUCCCAAAGACGAGUCAUGGAUCACCGCUUACCGCACAACUAAUAGGAGGUGGACCAUGGAGAAAUUCAUGGUAGUCCUAAAUGAGUUACAGAGCACCGCUAACCACAAAUAAACUACAAUAAGAAUGGAGUUACUUAUGCUAAGGUAGGAGCUGAUGACACCACGUGUGCUAAGUUUAGUGUCUGCCAAGAAAAACAUCUCAGACUGAACAGAUGCCUCUGGACUUGUGUCCUAAGGACGCUAAUUUCAAGUCCUCCCGAUAAUAGCAUGGCGAUUGAGAGCACCGGACAGAGCUCAUACUCCCUGUCCUAGACAGCAGACUGGUGGCGCCUGGGAAAUUCCAGGACGCGGCUGAUUGACACCCGGACCCCCACCAGGGGCCUUUUUCCCUGGAGUGGCAAGGAUGAAAGGAGAGCUCUUUUCACUGCUCCCCAUCCCCUCAGGGUGAACCUCUGGAUCUCCACAUGUCUAGAGCUGAAAAGCCAGCCUGUUGCUCUGUAACAGCACAAGGCGACUAGGGAACAAACUCCAUCAGAGCCAAUGCCUCGACACCUCUCAUCAGCCUGCUGCCAGACCCAACGGCAGAGCUGGACCAGACCUCUCAGCAGGGGACCUCUCCAGCUCCUCACCUCGAAGUCAGCCUGGGAACUUCGAGCCUGCUGCCCAGAGUGACUUCCUGCCUGCAAGUGACUGUUCUGAGAUCCGUCUCUCCAGGUGGUAACGGAGACUUCAGACUCUGGACGUUGGACUUUGACUUUUCAUGACCGUGAUAGGAACCUUGAGAAUGCAGCAUUUAUAAUAUUAGCCAUGUGUAAUAUGAAGAAAUGUACCUCGACCCUACGAUUAAGAAUAAUGCCAUAUGCUUUGCUGUACUUAGAUUACUAUUAUUGGAUUGCCUUUGAGACUGCUUCGAUGCUAGGUGUGUGUUAAGAUCUGUGGAUUAAUGAAUGUAACUGUAUAGAUUGGUAUGCAGAGUAGUGAAGCCCUAGUGUGAAUUGGUAUGAGGAAUCAAAACCUUUCAUUGGAAAGACAGUCGUGUGUCCGUGUGUUCCUUCUUCCCUGUACUCCGACGCGUUGCCCUUAAGCCCUGUCAAGCUGUGUGACCGUAGGUGCUGGCAACAGACCCACUUUUUCUUAAAAAGCUUUAUGGAGCCUAUGGCCUCUGCCACUGUCUCACAAAAGUGGCCAUCCAUGGUUCAUACAUGAAUGAGCGUAACUCCGGCUAUGGUUUUGAUAUGGCUUGAGGGUGUCCCCAAGAGUGCAUGGGUUGGGAGGUUGGUCCCCAGCGUGUCAUUGUUGGGAGGUGGUGUAGAACCUUGAAGAGGUGGUGCCUAGGAGGAAGUAAUUAGGUCACCAAAGGCACUGCCUUUAGAAGGAAUUGAUGUGGUUCUCAUAGGACCGCAGUUUUCAGGGACGCUUUUUACAGAAGAGCAAGACUGGCCUCUUCCCAGUCUCCUGGCUUCCUGUCUGGCCUUCUGAUCUCUUCCUUUCACAUGCACUCCACUCCACCCUGAUGAGUCACAGUCAGGGGCAGGGUGAGGGGUGUUUUGACAGAGCUGGCACCACACUGUUUGGGCUGUUUGGACUGUUAGCCCCUCAAACUGCAAGGUAAAUAGAUUGUUUUAUAAACUACUCAGCCUCUUGGAUUUUGCUGUAGAAAUGGAAAACACUAAUAUGCAUACAGCUUUGUUGCAGUAGAAUUGUAUGUAUCAAAACAGGUGGUCAGCCCUGAUCACUUGCGUCCCGUAGGUCAUAGAAGUCCUUACCAAACUUUUAUAUCUCUCUGGGAACCUUUUACACUUCUCAAACAUGUCCUUUCUGUUGGAGAUACUGCUCAUCAGUUUAUAACAAGCAAUUCUGAUAGCUAGGUACCAUUCUGCUUGGUACAAUAUCAAACGACAUUAAGCAUUAUCUUAACUGCCUAUGUUCCUGAGAUCAAGAUUCUGGAUCUAUUAAGUGUAAGAGCUCAGACCAGCAGUGAGUAAAUUUAUUGAAGUUCUAGUUUCUCUUUGUUGGACACUUUUUAACUGUGUCAGUUAAGUUUUCCCAGAAAACAAAACCAAUAGAAUAUUAUAUAAAUUAUUGUACAUAGAACAUUUCUUUGAUUUUUGAUGGGGUUACAUCCUGAUAGACCCAUCCUAAGUAAAAAAUAUCUAGGUUGAAAAUGCAUUUAAAAUACCUAACCUGGGGCAGGUGUUUGCCAUAGCGAUUAAGUCACCACUGAGGAUGGCUACAUGCUAUACCAGAGUGUCCAGCUUAAGUCCCAGCUACUUUGCUUUCAACCAGCUUCCUGCCAAUGUGUACACUGGGAAAUAACAAAUGAUGGGUCAAUGACUUGGGUCCCUGCUGCCCACAUGGGAGACUCAGGUUGAUUCUUGGCUCCUCACUUUGUCCUCGCCCAGCCCUAGUUGUUGCAGGCAUUUGAGAUGUGAACCAGUGGAUGGAAGAGCUCUCUUUGUCUCUCUGCCUUUCAAAUAAGAUUAAAAUUAAUAAAAACAAAUUUAAAAUAAGAGCUGAGAUUUUGAACCACCUAACAAAUAAACACCUAAACUACUCUGUAUCAUCGCUUAGUAACAGUCCACUGUAGUAUACUGAUUGUCUCCUCUUAAGAUCAUGUGACUGGCUGGGAGCAGUAGCUCACUGCUACUGCCCAGCAUCAGAGACAGUAUCAUCCCCCACAUUGCUAGCCUGGGAAAAAAUCAGACUUCAAAGUACUGUUUCUACUGAAUGCACGUCACUUUUGCACCAUUACAAAGUGGAAAAAUCAUAAGGUGAACUAUUUUAAGUGGGGGACCACCUAUAUAGUACACAUAGUAUCUUUAUAUACAUAUAUUGCAUACAUACAUAGUAUAUAUAGAGAGAGAUUACACACAUACACACACACACACAAAUGAAGAGGUUUAUUUUCUGAAAGCUGCUGGGCAGGUAAGCAAGCCAGAAAUCAGGCAGGACUUCUGUGUUACGGUCUUGGGACAAACGUCCUUCUCAGGAAAGCUGUGUUUGCUCUAAAGGCUUUAAACUAAAUGGAUGAGACUCAUCUUCAUUAUAAGAGUAAUCUCCUUAAAGUCAAUUGAUUUUAGAUGUUAAUCACAUCUACAAAAUACAUUCACAGCAAUAUCUAGAAUGUAUGUUUGGAGCACUAUAGUCUUGCCAAAUCAAUAUAUAAAAUUUAAUAUCACAAUAAUCAGAUAAAGGUGUCAAAAAUUCAUUAAAAUUGAAUUGAAAGAUGUUUCAGUGUAAAAAAUGAAAAAUAUGUGCAUAAUUGUUUCCUAAUCUGCAUUGUCAUAAACUUUUUUGAAGUACCCUCAUACUUUAACAAUAUAUAUUAA